AGAGUUUGAUCAUGGCUCAGAGCGAACGCUGGCGGCAGGCCUAACACAUGCAAGUCGAGCGCCCCGCAAGGGGAGCGGCAGACGGGAGAGUAACACGUGGGAACGUGCCCUUCAGUUCGGAACAACCCAGGGAAACUUGGGCUAAUACCGGAUACGUCCGUAAGGAGAAAGAUUUAUCGCUGAAGGAUCGGCCCGCGUCUGAUUAGCUAGUUGGUGGGGUAACGGCCCACCAAGGCGACGAUCAGUAGCUGGUCUGAGAGGAUGAUCAGCCUCACUGGGACUGAGACACGGCCCAGACUCCUACGGGAGGCAGCAGUGGGGAAUAUUGGACAAUGGGCGCAAGCCUGAUCCAGCCAUGCCGCGUGGAUGAUGAAGGCCCUAGGGUUGUAAAGUCCUUUCGGCGGGGAAGAUAAUGACGGUACCCGCAGAAGAAGCCCCGGCUAACUUCGUGCCAGCAGCCGCGGUAAUACGAAGGGGGCUAGCGUUGCUCGGAAUCACUGGGCGUAAAGCGCACGUAGGCGGCUUUUUAAGUCAGGGGUGAAAUCCUGGAGCUCAACUCCAGAACUGCCUUUGAUACUGAGAAGCUGGAGUCCGGGAGAGGUGAGUGGAACUGCGAGUGUAGAGGUGAAAUUCGUAGAUAUUCGCAAGAACACCAGUGGCGAAGGCGGCUCACUGGCCCGGUACUGACGCUGAGGUGCGAAAGCGUGGGGAGCAAACAGGAUUAGAUACCCCCGUAGUCC
Molecule: ribosomal RNA, 740 nt
Filed under: uncultured bacterium
Lineage: Bacteria
Description: bacterial SSU rRNA
Rfam family: Bacterial small subunit ribosomal RNA
Source: RNAcentral